GUUGGGAACUAGUUGUGGGGUCCAUUCCACGGAUUCCGUGACGCAGCUAACGCAUUAAGUUCCCCGCCUGGGGAGUACGGCCGCAAGGCUAAAACUCAAAGGAAUUGACGGGGACCCGCACAAGCGGCGGAGCAUGCGGAUUAAUUCGAUGCAACGCGAAGAACCUUACCAAGGCUUGACAUAUAGAGGAAACGUCUGGAAACAGUCGCCCCGCAAGGUCUCUAUACAGGUGGUGCAUGGCUGUCGUCAG
RNAcentral lists this ribosomal RNA (250 nucleotides) under uncultured bacterium. RNAcentral's name for it is "partial 16S ribosomal RNA". It matches the Rfam family "Bacterial small subunit ribosomal RNA", at positions 808 to 1058 of the family's 1533-position model. The record is from RNAcentral.